UARCAAACUAUACAGUGAAACUGCGAAUGGCUCAUUAAAUCAGUUAUCGUUUAUUUGAUAGUACCUUACUACUUGGAUAACCGUGGUAAUUCUAGAGCUAAUACAUGCUAAAAAUCCCGACCUCUGGAAGGGAUGUAUUUAUUAGAUAAAAAACCAAUGGCUUCGGCCUCCUUGGUGAUUCAUGAUAACUUAACGAAUCGCAUGGCCUUGUGCCGGCGAUGGUUCAUUCAAAUUUCUGCCCUAUCAACUUUCGAUGGUAGGAUAGUGGCCUACCAUGGUUUCAACGGGUAACGGGGAAUUAGGGUUCUAUUCCGGAGAGGGAGCCUGAGAAACGGCUACCACAUCCAAGGAAGGCAGCAGGCGCGCAAAUUACCCAAUCCCGACACGGGGAGGUAGUGACAAUAAAUACUGAUACAGGGCCCUUUCGGGUCUUGUAAUUGGAAUGAGUACAAUUUAAAUCCCUUAACGAGGAACAAUUGGAGGGCAAGUCUGGUGCCAGCAGCCGCGGUAAUUCCAGCUCCAAUAGCGUAUAUUAAAGUUGUUGCAGUUAAAAAGCUCGUAGUUGAACCUUGGGUCUGGCUGGCCGGUCUGCCUCACCGCAUGCACUGGUCCGGCCGGACCUUUCCUUCUGGCUAACCUCAUGCCCUUUACUGGGUGUGUUGGGGAACCAGGACUUUUACUUUGAAAAAAUUAGAGUGUUCAAAGCAGGCAUUUGCUCGAAUACAUUAGCAUGGAAUAAUAGAAUAGGACGUGCGGUUCUAUUUUGUUGGUUUCUAGGAUCGUCGUAAUGAUUAAUAGGGAUAGUCGGGGGCAUCCGUAUUCAAUUGUCAGAGGUGAAAUUCUUGGAUUUAUUGAAGACGAACUACUGCGAAAGCAUUUGCCAAGGAUGUUUUCAUUAAUCAGGAACGAAAGUUGAGGGAUCGAAGACGAUCAGAUACCGUCGUAGUCUCAACCAUAAACUAUGCCGACUAGGGAUCGGGCGAUGUACUAUUCGUGACUCGCUCGGCACCUUACGAGAAAUCAAAGUCUUUGGG
RNAcentral lists this ribosomal RNA (1034 nucleotides) under Donadinia echinacea. RNAcentral describes it as "SSU rRNA". The record is from RNAcentral. Lineage: Eukaryota; Fungi; Ascomycota; Pezizomycetes; Pezizales; Sarcosomataceae.